This 293-nucleotide ribosomal RNA is filed under the name uncultured Planctomycetota bacterium. RNAcentral describes it as "uncultured planctomycete partial 16S ribosomal RNA". The record is from RNAcentral. Lineage: Bacteria; Pseudomonadati; Planctomycetota.
GGACUACUGGGGUAUCUAAUCCCGUUUGCUCCCCUGGCUUUCGCGUCUCAGCGUCAGAAAACGUCCAGGACCUCGCUUUCGCCACGGGCGUUCCUUCCGAUCUCAACGCAUUUCACCGCUCCACCGGAAGUUCCAGGUCCCCCUACGUUCCUCCAGGAAGGUCGUAUCGGCGCCACUUCCCCGGUUGAGCCGGGGGAUUUCAACGACCGACGUGCCCUCCCGCCUACACGCGCUUUAAGCCCAGUGAUUCCGAAUAACGUUCGCACGGUUCGUCUUACCGCGGCUGCUGGCAC